UGGGGGAUUUUGCACAAUGGGCGCAAGCCUGAUGCAGCGACGCCGCGUGAGGGAUGAAGGCCUUCGGGUUGUAAACCUCUUUCGCUGGGUUGAAAGGCCAUGCUUUGGGUGUGGUUGAUUUGAACUGGUAAAGAAGUACCGGCUAACUACGUGCCAGCAGCCGCGGUAAUACGUAGGGUACUAGCGUUGUCCGGAUUUAUUGGGCGUAAAGGGCUUGUAGGUGGUUUGUCGCGUCUGUCGUGAAAUCCUGUGGCUUAACCAUGGGCUUGCGGUGGGUACGGGCAGGCUUGAGUGCGGUAGGGGAGACUGGAAUUCCUGGUGUAGCGGUGGAAUGCGCAGAUAUCAGGAGGAACACCGGUGGCGAAGGCGGGUCUCUGGGCCGUUACUGACACUGAGGAGCGAAAGCGUGGGGAGCGAACAGG
This 422-nucleotide ribosomal RNA is filed under the name Acidobacteriota bacterium. RNAcentral's name for it is "Acidobacteria bacterium partial 16S ribosomal RNA". It matches the Rfam family "Bacterial small subunit ribosomal RNA", at positions 355 to 776 of the family's 1533-position model. The record is from RNAcentral. Lineage: Bacteria; Pseudomonadati; Acidobacteriota. RNAcentral also lists the same sequence under 2 other names.